Molecule: long non-coding RNA, 83 nt
Organism: Eucalyptus grandis
Lineage: Eukaryota; Viridiplantae; Streptophyta; Magnoliopsida; Myrtales; Myrtaceae
Exons: 2
Source: RefSeq, a predicted model, not a curated record
CGAGCAGGGAAAGCUGCUUUGCUGCUCAAGAGGGACAGAACUAGGUCGAAGAGAUUCUUGGAAAUUCAGAAACUCAGAGAAAA